GAUGAAGAACGCAGCGAAAUGCGAUACGUAAUGUGAAUUGCAGAUUUCAGUGAAUCAUCGAAUCUUUGAACGCACAUUGCGCCCGCUAGUAUUCUGGCGGGCAUGCCUGUUCGAGCGUCAUUUCAACCAUCAAGCCCUAGGCUUGCGUUGGAGCCCUGCGGCUGCCGCAGGCUCCCAAAUCCAGUGGUGGGCUCGUCGUCGUACCGAGUGCAGUAAACAUCCUCGCUCAGGGAACGUGACGGGUUCUUGCCGUGAAACCCCCCACAUAUCAAGGUUGACCUCGGAUCAGGUAGGAAUACCCGCUGAACUUAAGCAUAUCAAUAAGCGGAGGA
Molecule: unclassified non-coding RNA, 332 nt
Filed under: soil metagenome
Description: partial contains 5.8S ribosomal RNA, internal transcribed spacer 2, and large subunit ribosomal RNA
Rfam family: 5.8S ribosomal RNA (bases 1-120)
Source: RNAcentral